This 125-nucleotide ribosomal RNA is filed under the name Rhodnius prolixus. RNAcentral describes it as "5.8S ribosomal RNA". It matches the Rfam family "5.8S ribosomal RNA", at positions 33 to 154 of the family's 154-position model. From Rfam's summary of the family: 5.8S ribosomal RNA (5.8S rRNA) is a component of the large subunit of the eukaryotic ribosome. It is transcribed by RNA polymerase I as part of the 45S precursor that also contains 18S and 28S rRNA. Functionally, it is thought that 5.8S rRNA may be involved in ribosome translocation. Lineage: Eukaryota; Metazoa; Arthropoda; Insecta; Hemiptera; Reduviidae. The record is from Rfam by way of RNAcentral.
UCGAUGAAAGACGCAGCAAACUGCGCGUCGUCAUGUGAAGUGCAGGACACAUGAACAUCGACAUUUUGAACGCACAUUGCGGCCCUGGGAUUUCUAUCCAAGGGCCCACGCCUGUCUGAGGGUCG